Molecule: ribosomal RNA, 389 nt
Filed under: Limnonectes kuhlii (Kuhl's wart frog)
Lineage: Eukaryota; Metazoa; Chordata; Amphibia; Anura; Dicroglossidae
Description: partial 12S ribosomal RNA
Source: RNAcentral
CAAAGGUUUGGUCCUAGCCUUCUUAUCAGUUUUUUCUAAGCCUACACAUGCAAGUCUCAGCUCCCCAGUGAGGACGCCCUUUUACCUUUUCCAGGCUAAGGAGCCGGUAUCAGGCACUAAAUCUGCCCACAACACCUAGUCCCACCACACCCCCAAGGGCCUUCAGCAGUGAUUAAUAUUGUUUAUAAGUGUUAACUUGAUCCAGCUAUAGAGAAGAGAGCUGGCCAACUCGGUGCCAGCCGCCGCGGCUAAACCGCACGAGCUCAAAUUGAUAAUUGUCGGCGUUAAGCGUGAUUAAAGGCCCCGCUAAUUAGAACAAAACCUAAACUCAGCUGUGAUAAGCUUGUUUUCGAGAAACACAAACACGAAAGUUGCUCUAAUCAACCCCU